This 631-nucleotide unclassified non-coding RNA is filed under the name Zea mays. RNAcentral describes it as "misc RNA Zm00001eb227570". The record is from RNAcentral. Lineage: Eukaryota; Viridiplantae; Streptophyta; Magnoliopsida; Poales; Poaceae.
GUGACACCCCACCAUCACCGCCGCGCCACACGCGACAACUCCAUCCCCCGUCCGCACCCCUACCCCGAGCAUCACAGCGCCUCCCGCACGAGGUCGUUGCGCUUGUCGAUCUGAUGGCGGCCCAUGGCAAAGGAGCAGGCGGUGAUGGCAGCCACAGCAGAAAGCCGACGCUCGGCGUGAUUCCCACCCGUCGCGAGCCAAGAGGUUCGAGGUCAUUUUUGAGCCAAGAGGUUCGCGGCCACGGGAGCAACCCUACAGAACCAUCACCACCACCGCUCUCUCUUCCUCUGCUCUUCAAUGCCUGCCUGAGCUCACCGCACCUCGCCUCCUCACCGCGGAUCCUCCGUUAAUCCGGUAGAAAAUGGCCGAUGCCGAGGAUAUCCAGCCCCUCGUCUGCGACAACGGAACUGGCAUGGUCAAGGCUGGGUUCGCUGGCGACGACGCCCCGAGGGUCGUCUUCCCCAGCAUCGUGGGGCGCCCGCGCCACAUUGGUGUCAUGGUCGGGAUGGGGCAGAAGGACGCCUACGUCGGUGACGAGGUGCAGUCCAAGAGGGGUAUCCUGACCCUCAAGUACCUCAGCUUACACAUCACAUUAUUCCCCACAUUACAGCAAUCAGUGCAACAAUCAGAG